GGUUAAGCGACUAAGCGUACACGGUGGAUGCCCUGGCAGUCAGAGGCGAUGAAGGACGUGCUAAUCUGCGAUAAGCGUCGGUAAGGUGAUAUGAACCGUUAUAACCGGCGAUUUCCGAAUGGGGAAACCCAGUGUGAUUCGUCACACUAUCGUUAACUGAAUACAUAGGUUAACGAAGCGAACCGGGGGAACUGAAACAUCUAAGUACCCCGAGGAAAAGAAAUCAACCGAGA
This 233-nucleotide ribosomal RNA is filed under the name Salmonella enterica subsp. enterica serovar Kentucky. RNAcentral's name for it is "partial 23S ribosomal RNA". It matches the Rfam family "Bacterial large subunit ribosomal RNA", at positions 1 to 234 of the family's 2925-position model. Lineage: Bacteria; Pseudomonadati; Pseudomonadota; Gammaproteobacteria; Enterobacterales; Enterobacteriaceae. The record is from RNAcentral.